CGUGCACGCUGGCGGUAGGCCUAACACAUGCAAGUCGAACGGCAGCACAGUAAGAGCUUGCUCUUACGGGUGGCGAGUGGCGGACGGGUGAGGAAUACAUCGGAAUCUACUUUUUCGUGGGGGAUAACGUAGGGAAACUUACGCUAAUACCGCAUACGACCUACGGGUGAAAGCAGGGGAUCUUCGGACCUUGCGCGAUUGAAUGAGCCGAUGUCGGAUUAGCUAGUUGGCGGGGUAAAGGCCCACCAAGGCGACGAUCCGUAGCUGGUCUGAGAGGAUGAUCAGCCACACUGGAACUGAGACACGGUCCAGACUCCUACGGGAGGCAGCAGUGGGGAAUAUUGGACAAUGGGCGCAAGCCUGAUCCAGCCAUACCGCGUGGGUGAAGAAGGCGUUCGGGUUGUAAAGCCCUUUUGUUGGGAAAGAAAAGCAGCAGGUUAAUACCCCGCUGUUCUGACGGUACCCAAAGAAUAAGCACCGGCUAACUUCGUG
This 492-nucleotide ribosomal RNA is filed under the name uncultured bacterium. Its description in RNAcentral is "partial 16S ribosomal RNA". It matches the Rfam family "Bacterial small subunit ribosomal RNA", at positions 29 to 507 of the family's 1533-position model. The record is from RNAcentral.